AAAAAAAAAAAAAAAAAGUAAGAUAAGGAUAAAAAAAGUAAGAUAAGGAUAAAUUAUACAGGCAUCACAUCUAUGUUGACAGCCACGACAGUUUUCUGCCCCUGGCCCUCUCCCUUGUUAAUUGCUCCAUUUCUUUUCUAUCUUAUGCAACAACAGCUUACUUGCCAAUCUGGUUCUCAAUAGAUGUAGCUGAGGCCUUCCUUUUGUGGAUUUGCCUUUUCAAUUGAUUAUCUUUAUUCUAUAACAUGUUAUAACCUGUAAGAAUAUAAUAACUGAAGUUGGAAUUAUUAAUGUAUAUGAUUGUGGAAAUUUGAAAUAAAUGGGCGUUUUAUUUGAGAAAAAUUCUUCAUCGUAACUUCUUUAGUUAAUUGGAAAUAUGGGGAACUACAAAUGAUAUGAAACUAGUAGUAUUUCCACUAGGAGAGAAGUGAGAAGGCAUGUGAAAGUGAAAGUGCUAAUAGUAAUGAGUAUAUUGUAUUUUUGGGUAAAUAAAGUUGUAGUUUUGUUAAGUGAUGGUUUUUCCAGUGGAUUAUUGAUUGCAACACCUCUGUCAUUCUAUGAAGCUCAAUAUGAUUGAGCUCACUUGUUCAGUAUUCAAUCUUGUAUUCCCUGAGUGAUCUUGAAACUGAAAAUGAAGUGAGGCUUUUUAAUCCGUGUUAUUUAUUUGUUUUGAGUCUUUUGACAGCUG
This 688-nucleotide unclassified non-coding RNA is filed under the name Hevea brasiliensis (rubber tree). Lineage: Eukaryota; Viridiplantae; Streptophyta; Magnoliopsida; Malpighiales; Euphorbiaceae. The record is from RNAcentral.